Molecule: ribosomal RNA, 253 nt
Filed under: uncultured bacterium
Lineage: Bacteria
Description: partial 16S ribosomal RNA
Rfam family: Bacterial small subunit ribosomal RNA
Source: RNAcentral
UACGAAGGGGGCUAGCGUUGCUCGGAAUCACUGGGCGUAAAGGGUGCGUAGGCGGCCACGCAGGUCCGUUGUGAAAACUAGAGGCUCAACCUCUAGACGUCGACGGAAACCGUGUGGCUAGAGUCCGGAAGAGGAGAGUGGAAUUCCUGGUGUAGCGGUGAAAUGCGCAGAUAUCAGGAAGAACACCAAUGGCGAAGGCAGCUCUCUGGGACGGUACUGACGCUGAGACGCGAAAGCGUGGGGAGCGAACAGG